UCUGACCUCAAAUCAGGUAGGAUUACCCGCUGAACUUAAGCAUAUCAAUAAGCGGAGGAAAAGAAACUAACAAGGAUUCCCUUAGUAACUGCGAGUGAAGUGGGAAAAGCUCAAAUUUAAAAUCUGGCAGUCUGAUUUUUUAUCUUUGGCUGUCCGAGUUGUAAUCUAGAGAAGUGCUACCUGUACUGGACCGUGUACAAGUCUCCUGA
RNAcentral lists this ribosomal RNA (209 nucleotides) under Amanita sp. 'penetratrix'. RNAcentral's name for it is "partial 28S ribosomal RNA". It matches the Rfam family "Eukaryotic large subunit ribosomal RNA", at positions 1 to 193 of the family's 3401-position model. The record is from RNAcentral. Lineage: Eukaryota; Fungi; Basidiomycota; Agaricomycetes; Agaricales; Amanitaceae.